UUUGAAUGCGAAGAGUCAAGCAAGAUUGAGCGGAACAGUGACCGCUCGAAGUGGAUAACUGCGCCACAGAAGCGGGUAGUUGUAUUGCUUGCGUGUGAUGCGAUGGAAUGCCCGCAUCACACUGCAACGCAGCCCGGGUUAAAAAAUGCUGGCAAAGACAUUCGAGAUACAACCUCGGGUGUCUUUU
RNAcentral lists this non-coding RNA (187 nucleotides) under unclassified sequences. Its description in RNAcentral is "FuFi-1 RNA". It matches the Rfam family "FuFi-1 RNA". The record is from Rfam by way of RNAcentral.